Molecule: ribosomal RNA, 460 nt
Filed under: uncultured bacterium
Lineage: Bacteria
Description: partial 16S ribosomal RNA
Rfam family: Bacterial small subunit ribosomal RNA
Source: RNAcentral
CCUACGGGCGUCAGCAGUGAGGAAUAUUGGUCAAUGGCCGUAAGGCUGAACCAGCCAAGUCGCGUGAGUGAAGAAGGAUCUAUGUUUUGUAAACUUCUUUUGUAGGGGAGUAAAUGUAUCCACGUGUGGAUAUUUGCAUGUACUUUAUGAAUCAGGAUGGGCUAACUCCGUGCCAGCAGCCGCGGUAAUACGGAGUAUGCGAGCGUUAGCCGAAUUUAGUGGGUUGAAAGGGAGCGUAGAUGGGUCUUGAGGUCAGUUGUGAAAGUUGGCGGCACAACCGUAAAAUUGCAAUUGAAACUGGCAGUCUUGAGUACAGUUGAGGUAAGCGGAAUUCGUGGUGUAGCGGUGAAAUGCUUAGAUAUCACGAAGAACACCGAUUGCGAAGGCAGCUCACUGGACUGCAACUGACAUUGAUGCUCGAAAGUGUGGGUAUCAAACAGGAUUAGAUACCCGUGUAGUC